AGGGUUUGAUCCUGGCUCAGGACGAACGCUGGCGGCGUGCUUAACACAUGCAAGUCAAGGAGAAAGUUUCUUUAGGGGGAUGAGUAAACUGGCGCACGGGUGAGUAAAAUGUAAGUAAUCUGCCCUUUGGAUGGGAAUAACUACUAGAAAUGGUGGCUAAUACCGAAUAAUGCAGCGGCACCGAGUGGUGAUGUUGUUAAAGACCGAAAGGUUGCCAAGGGAUGAGCUUGCAUCUGAUUAGCUAGUUGGCGGGGUAAAGGCCCACCAAGGCAACGAUCAGUAGCUGGUCUGAGAGGACGAUCAGCCACACUGGAACUGAGACACGGUCCAGACUCCUACGGGAGGCAGCAGUGAGGAAUAUUGGGCAAUGGCCGUAAGGCUGACCCAGCAACGCCGCGUGGAGGAAGAAGGCCGUAAGGUUGUAAACUCCUGUUAGAGGGGACGAAAAAGCGGGGCAGCACCCUGCAUUGACUGUACCCUCAGAGAAAGCCCCGGCUAACUACGUGCCAGCAGCCGCGGUAAUACGUAGGGGGCAAGCGUUGUCCGGAUUCACUGGGUGUAAAGGGCGCGUAGGCUGUUAAAUAAGUCAGAGGUGAAAUCUCACGGCUCAACCGUGAAACUGCCUUUGAUACUGUUUAACUUGAGUAUGGAAGAGAGAGACGGAAUUCCAGGUGUAGUGGUGAAAUACGUAGAUAUCUGGAAGAACACCAGAGGCGAAGGCGGUCUCUUGGUCCAUAACUGACGCUGAGGCGCGAAAGCGUGGGGAGCGAACAGGAUUAGAUACCCUGGUAGUCCACGCUGUAAACGAUGAAUGCUAGGUGUUGGGUGCAAACUCAGUGCCGACGCAAACGCAAUAAGUAUUCCACCUGGGGAGUACGAUCGCAAGGUUGAAACUCAAAGGAAUUGACGGGGGCCCGCACAAGCAGUGGAGCAUGUGGUUUAAUUCGAUUCAACGCGAAGAACCUUACCUGGGCUUGAAAGGCAUAUGACGUUAUGUGAAAGCAUAAUUCCCUUCGGGGCAUAUGUACAGGUGCUGCAUGGCUGUCGUCAGCUCGUGCCGUGAGGUGUUGGGUUAAGUCCCGCAACGAGCGCAACCCCUACCAUUAGUUGCCAUCAGGUUAAGCUGGGCACUUUAAUGGGACUGCCUACGCAAGUAGUGAGGAAGGCGGGGAUGACGUCAAGUCAGCAUGGCCCUUACGCCCAGGGCCACACACGUGCUACAAUGGAUGUUACAACGGGAAGCCAAGCCGCGAGGUGGAGCCAAUCCCAAAAAAAGCAUCCCCAGUUCGGAUUGGAGUCUGCAACUCGACUCCAUGAAGUUGGAAUUGCUAGUAAUCGCGCAUCAGCACGGCGCGGUGAAUACGUUCCCGGGCUUUGUACACACCGCCCGUCAAGCCAUGGAAGCCGGGGGUACCCGAAGUCAGUGACCCAACCGCAAGGAGGGAGCUGCCGAAGGUAAAACCGGUAACUGGGGCUAAGUCGUAACAAGGUA
Molecule: ribosomal RNA, 1492 nt
Filed under: metagenome
Description: bacterial SSU rRNA
Rfam family: Bacterial small subunit ribosomal RNA
Source: RNAcentral